Musa acuminata AAA Group (dessert banana) is the source of this 444-nucleotide long non-coding RNA. RefSeq lists it as uncharacterized. The transcript is spliced from 2 exons. The record is from RefSeq and is a predicted model, not a curated record. Lineage: Eukaryota; Viridiplantae; Streptophyta; Magnoliopsida; Zingiberales; Musaceae.
CCAGUGCCAGCUCAAGCAUGCCAGGGAAGACAAUAGAGAACCACUGAGGGAUGCCACCGCGAUGCUCCAUCAGAAGUUUCACCAUGUUUGCACGAAGAAAUCCUAAUCCUAAUAAAAAUGGAAGCUUAUGUCAAGAGGUGAGACAACAGAGGACGAUCAUGGUAAACCAGUAGGAGCAUACUCUAGACUCGACGUAGUUCUUCUUCCACCAAAUAUAUCAUGGUGGCUAGCAAUAGUUUGAUUCACAAUGAACAUCCCUUGCAACCCAGCUGAACCAUAGCAAAUCCUUAAAGAUCUACCACAUGCAUAUAGUGGUAGUUUGACUUGUAAGUUAGGGCUUGUCCUUUCUUUGAAUCAGACUUUGCUUUCUGAUGCAUAUAGUGCAAUACUGUAGUUUGACUUUUGUUUGCAAGAAAUAAAAUGACAGUUCGGUACUUGUACUCA